This 1438-nucleotide long non-coding RNA is filed under the name Homo sapiens (human). Its description in RNAcentral is "non-protein coding RUNX2-AS1:26". The record is from RNAcentral. Lineage: Eukaryota; Metazoa; Chordata; Mammalia; Primates; Hominidae.
CUCACACACAUCCAUGAGGGAAGAAUCAUUCCCAUUUAACAGACAAUGUAACUGGGCCUGAAUAUAGCUCAGCGACUUGCCCCAGGCCCACCAGGAAGUGGAUAAAGCCAUGCUCAACCCAGCACUUCUUCUCUCUACCUUCCACCGAUCCUGCCUGCUCAUCUUCCCUCCUUGGUGAAGAACUCAACCAUCUCAUGCUCCUACUACCAUGGUUGACGAGGAAGCUGAGCCACCAGACAGAGCAGUGGUGACCUACAGAGCCGUGCUUUCAUGACCAUAUGGCCUCUCAGCCGCGGGACUUGCCACACUGUCCCAUACAAUCCUCUGUCAUUUUAGUAUCUGUCACUGCCAGGUCUUCUUCACACCAGCUUGUGAGAAAAAAUGGUGCAUCACUUCUCAAUCCUGGUUUUAGUGACAUCAUAUUGAUAGCUUGAACUUUGCCAUAUUUACAUCACAGAAAUCAGUAAACACCAUUAAAAAGGCUUUUGUUUUCUUCCUUUUUUUUUUCUCAGAGAGCCAGUUAUUAAACAUUUACCAACAUGUGCAAGAACGGGUUUCAAGGCCGAGGUGGGCAGAUCACAAGGUCAGGACUUUGAGACCAGCCUGGCCAAUAUGGUGAAACCCCAUUUCUACUAAAAAUACAAAAAAAUUAGCCAGGCGUGGUGAUGCAUGCCUGUAAUCCCAGCUACUCGGUAGGCUGAGGCAGGAGAAUUGCUUGAACCCGGGAGGCGGAGGUUUGCAGUGAGCCAAGAUCGCGCCACUGCACUCCAGCCUGGCAACAGAGCAAGACUCCGUCUCAAACAAAACACAGCACAACAAAACAAAAAAGAACGAGUUUCAUAGUGAGAAACAGCGGAGAAACCAGCUUACCUGGUGGGCCUUGAGUGGCCCCUACAAACUCCAACCUGUUCAAGACUCAUUUGCCACGUUGUACCUUCCAGCCAAGGCAAUCCCCCCAGCCUGAGCUACUUCCCAGACCAGACCACAGAAGCAAGGCCAUGCUCACCGAGGACCCCACUUGUGGACUAGACUUCUGUCCUGCUGUGGCCUCAAAAGCAAUAGCCAGGGCCCCAUGAUGAAGCUGCCAUCAGAAGCACAGGUGUGCCUGGCAAGGACACAGGAGGACCACGGCUCCAUGCCGAUGAGAAUGGCAGCUAAGUCUGAAGCUUUCUAUGAUUUAGAUUCCUGGUUGCGAGAGGGAGCCUAUAGGAAUGGCGAGAAGAGUGAGAACUUUGCAGAGGCAGCAAGUGGCUAUGGGCUCAGAUCCUCUCUUACUUCAAGGGAUCUGGGCUGGAUGCUUGGGCGCGAGAGAGAAGAAUGGCUCUCAACUGGGCGGGGAAGAGUAGCCCGCAAGGAGGCAGCGGCUCCAGGAUGGGAAGUGAGGAUGCCAAAAAAGCAUCCCUAGGAAGGUUCCUGCCUUUCCACGAGGCUAUGGGGC